RNAcentral lists this transfer RNA (66 nucleotides) under Marmota monax (woodchuck). RNAcentral's name for it is "tRNA.Ala". It matches the Rfam family "tRNA". Rfam says of the family: Transfer RNA (tRNA) molecules are approximately 80 nucleotides in length. Their secondary structure includes four short double-helical elements and three loops (D, anti-codon, and T loops). The record is from RNAcentral. Lineage: Eukaryota; Metazoa; Chordata; Mammalia; Rodentia; Sciuridae.
GGUUGUAGCUCAGUGGUAGAGCAUUUGCCUAGCAUGCAUGGGUACUGGGUUCAAUCCUCAGCACCA